AAAUGAAAUGAUGUAUAUGCUACUAGACAUGACACCACCAACACUCAGCGAACUAGAUAAUAAAGCGUAAAAAUACACCCUAGAUCUAAAACAGUUCUAGAAAGAUCAAGACAUAUAAACCCAAUCUAAACACAACUAGGAAACCCUAUAUAUAGUCACAAAAAAACGGAUCAGGAGAAUGAAGAUCCAGAGCUUGAAGAAAUGAAAAAAAGAUCCAAACCUCGCUUUGCUACUAUUUAAAGAAAAAUAACACAACAAUGAACAUGAUUCUAUACAACAUCAACAACUCUUUUAUUGAAUUUUAAGAGCCAGUUAGUUGAAACAAAAUUAUACCAAAAACCUCACUACAAUCUCUCACAUUCAGUAUAAUAAUCCUCCUUACAACUGUCAUGUAGCACCUGGUUUCCGGUAUGUGAAUUUUAUUUGAGCAUUGACCUAAUUUAGCCUUAGACUCGGCGAGUCAUAGGGUCCGACUCGCCGAGUAGGGACGGGACUCAGGACGCGUUUUAAGUAGGCGACUCGACGAGUCCAUAUCCUGGACUCGGCGAGUCACCGCUGCGGGAUGAAACCCUAAGUUUCAAGGGUUUGCACCCUAUUUAAACCCUCAUUCCGCCCCAACUCGUCCCCAUUCACCCCAGAACUCCCCCUACAUCGUUUUCCCCUUGUUUUCUUGAGAGUUUGAGGUGCUCUUGGUGUAUUCUUGGAGGUUUUGAAGUGUAAGAGGAGUAGAUCAAGAAGAGGAGGAGGAGAUCAGCCAUCCUUGUGUCAUUCCAACAUUUCCUUUGAGGUAUAACCCGUUUUCCCCUUGAUUCUAUGCUUAAAACUUCAUUUGGGUCCUUCUUGGUCAAUUUCCCAAGUUGCAUGUUCAUUAUAUGUUGUAAUAAGGCAUUUGGCCUUUGGAUCUAUGUAAGAUUGAGCUCCAGGAGCUCAGAUCUGUUAGCUUUUUGGUCCCAUAAGGCUUGUUAGCCCUAGAUCUACCAUUUUGAGACAUUUUGAGCUUUAUAAUCCUUAUUGGUGGAUAUCCACACGUAAAGUUGGAAACUUUACGUGUGAUUCGUGUCCUAGAAGUCCAGAUCUAUGAAUGGCAUGGUCUGGAACCGAGCAAAUCGGUAUAUUUAAGGAGUGCAUGGCGACGACUCGGCGAGUCGCAUAGGUGACUCGGCGAGUCUGGUCGCGAGUCACCGAAUUGGUCCCUUCUUCAUGUGUCGAGUUGAGCCUUGAGUCACAGGGGGUGACUCGGUGAGUUGGGAGCUGAACUCACCCAUGUUAGGACUCGGCGAGUCAAUGCCCUGACUCGGCGAGUCCAAGGCAAUCUUCAUAGCUCAAGAACAGACUCGGCGAGUUGUUCAUACAACUCGGCGAGUCUUAGCAUAAAGUGUUCAUCGGAUGAAGAUGAACUCGACGAGUUGUUCAUACAACUCGGCGAGUAGGAUGAAGGACUUGAAUAUUGGUUAAGAAGGUGAACCCGUCGAGUCGUCGCCUAACUCGACGGGUAGGAUCGGGAUUCAGGGCAGUCGUUUGGGCAGGGACUCGGCGAGUUGGAAAGCCAACUCGGCGAGUCGGGUCAACUGAAAGUUGACUCUGACUUUGACUUAGGGCAUGGUCAUGGGUAAAAUGGUCAUUUUACCCAAAGGUCAGUGAGCAAUGUUUGAUUGGGUUUAUUGUGGAAAUUGCAGCCGGAGGAUUUCCGGAGCAGCAGCGGCAGCAGUAGGCAGUCAGUUUCCGAUCAGUUCAGCAGCUACUUUGAGGUGAGUUACCUUCCAGUAGCGGUGGGUCUAAGGCCACAAUGCCGACCCACCAGUAGGAGUUGUAUGAUAGAUGAUUGUCUUUGUGAUAUCAUCUAAGUUCGCUAGUACCUGACAUGUUAUAUGCUAGCAUGAUAUGCUGUAUGUGAUAGUAGUAGAGUUUGGUUGUUCGGACCGAAGGGUAGUCAGACACCCCAGAUACGUCUGACAGUAUGUGACGAUAUGUAUGCAUGCUGGCUUGUUAUGUUAUAUGUGAUCGUAGUAGUAGGGGUGAAAUAGUCCCCGAGGAUCGGUUGUUAGGACCGAUGGGUAGUCAGCACCCCAGAAUGGCUUGACACGGGUAAGACGGCACCCCAGAAUGGCCGUAUGGGUAGGUCAGCACCCCAGAAUGGCUUGACACGGGUAGGUCGGCACCCCAGAAUGGCCGUACCGGGUAGUCAGGCACCCCAGAAUAGCCUGGCAGUAUAUAUGUUAUGUGUUUGUAUGGUAUGCGGUACGUUGGGGGAACUCACUAAGCUUUGUGCUUACGUUUACAGUUUUGUUUUCAGGUACCUCUGCAUCGAAGGGGAAGGAGCCGGCGCGGUAGCGGCACGUCAUACACACACUCUUCGGUUUCCGCAUUUAUGAGAUUUACUGGGAUUGUACUCUGAUAUUUGGAUGGGAUGUACGGUUUGGCUUUUGAGAACAUGGUUGCAAUGUGUUAUGGUGUGAACAAACAAUGUUUCUUUUUAUUUAGACAAUGUUUUUAUUUAUUAAUGUUUUCUAAAGUAAUAUCAAAAAAAAAAAAAAUUUUGGGUCGUUACAAGUUGGUAUCAGAGCCCUGGUUUGAGGGAUUCGGACACGCCUUCGGGAGUGUUUGGACUCAAACCGAGGGAUUGAAAGAUUUUUCCAAAAGAAAUUAUUCUUUAAAACCCGGAAAAGAGUCACGAGAAAGAGUAAAGUGUGUGACGUGCGCGACCGGCCGAGCUCAAGUAAGUAUUCCCCAUAGUACCCAUACAAGUUUAUGUUAUGUUUAUCAGCUUUAUGAAUAUUGCAUGCUAGAAUAGGCUAAGGAUCUAGGAGUGAUGCCUUAUGUGCCUGUUUAUUUGUUACAGCUUAUUGAAUAUUGCAUGCUAGAAUUGAGUAGACAGCAGUAGGGUAGCCUGUUUAGGUUAUGCCUGAUAGUAUGAGCUUAGCAUCCUAUGUUAAGUGUCGUUUCUUGUUCUAAGAACAGUUUUGGCUUGAGUCUGUUUUUCCUUAUCCGAAUGCUGCUUGCUUCGUGCUCGGUGGGAUUCUGAGUAAUGGGAGUGAGCCACUAGGUAAACACGUCACACCACAUGUAAUCGGGGUUGAAUAAUCCCAAAGUGUUGGAACUGGCCCUAUUGCGCAGCUCUUGUUUGAGUCCAACCGUUGUAGGGACGGGCCUUUUACUUGAAGGAUGAUCUAAUCCUCAUCACAGGUGGUGGUGUUUAGGUGGUGGCUAACUGGCAUUAUGAGGAGACCUACAGCAGCUGAGGACCAGUUGUGUUGAACUUGAGUUCUCCCUAGGGCAAGCCUAGGGUGAGAAUAUCGGAGAGUAGCAGUAGUAGAGGGGAGUUGGUGGAGUCGAGGAAUUCCUCGGAGAAGGUACGGAUAGAUGUGGAAGGUAGUAUGGGCCCGUACUACUGAAAGCAGAGGAUCCGUACCCGAGCCGAGGAAGGCCAAGACGAGACCAAGGAACCUGUAAGUAGUUGAGAUCCCUCAGAAAGUAGCAGUACCACUAAUGAUUAUUAUUGAUGUUUUGCAGAAUGGUGGUACUUCGACCGAGACCGACAGAUGGCGGGUCAGGAGAGGGGUCAGGUUCGGGAUCUGGCACCGAGCCGAUUGAGGAGAGGCUACGUGAGUUCAUCACGUCGGAGAUCACUAGGGGCAUCCUUGAGUCGACCCCCAUCAUCUUUGGGUCGAUCAAGGAAGGGAUCGUGGAGAUGAUGGAGGAUCGCCUACGGGCAUUCAGGAGCGACUUGGCCUCUAGCCAGUCAGGAUCUCGCACACUGUCCUUCAAGGACUUCAGGAGCAGUGGUGCGCCGGAUUUCCAUGGGGUGAAGGACCCCAUUGUCGCCAGGCGGUGGAUUGCGGAUAUCGAGUCCGCCCAGUUGAUCAGCUUCUGCCCCGAGGGGUCGAAGGUGAGGUACGCAGCAGGGUGUUUACGGGACCGGGCCCGAGAUUGGUGGGAGUCAGUGGGUGACUCGAUGGGAGCCUCGGCUAUCGAGGCAAUGACCUGGUCGGACUUUGUGGCUAGGUUCAGGGCAGAGUUUGCGCCAGCGGUCGAGCUUCAGCAGCUGGCCAGGGAGUUCUUAGACAUGAGGCAGACGACAGAGACCGUGGCGGAGAUCACCGCCAAGUUUCGGGAGAGGGCUUUAUUGGUGCCCCAGUAUGCAGGUGACGAGGAUAUGAGGAGGACUCGUUACCAUGAUAUGCUACGAGCUGACAUUCGGGAGCAUGUUAGUUUUUCGGCUUGCCCUACCCUGGACUCCAUGAUUGCCAGGGCUAGGGAGAGAGAGAUAGAUUUGGAGCACAUCCGGAAACGGAAACUUGAGGAUGGUCAGUCAUCAGGGGCUUCGGGGAAGAAGCCCAAGGGAUCAGAUGGGAGGCCGAAAGGCCAGUCGGGACCGAGCCGCUGCAGGAGGUGCGGCAGGGCGCACGAGGGGGCGUGCAGGAUGGGAUCGUCAGGCUGCUACAAGUGCGGCAAGUUUGGGCAUAUCAGCAGGGAUUGCACUGCUCCUGCGACCGUUAUUCAGACAUCGGAGUUGCUGUGUUUCCACUGCAACCAGAGGGGCCACAAGAAGGCCAAUUGCCCCAUGUUGACAGCUUCAGCGCCAGUGAAGGCGCCAGCUCCAGCGACCCUGCGGAUCACGGAUGGCCGUCAGGGCAAGGCAGAGGCUCCAGUGGUGAGGAGUCGGGCAUUUCAGUUGACUGCCGAGGAGGCACGCGCCGCGCCCGAUGUGGUGACGGGUAUGAUUCCUUCCUUCUAUCUUUUAUUUUACGUUGUUAUGAUAUUGAUAUGUGCUCCGUGUGUAUACAUGUGUAUUAGGAUCGUUCCAUGUGAACGGCAUCCCGGUUCAGGUAUUGUUCGACUCGGGUGCAUCCCGAUCGUUCGUUUCUCUUGCUCUUAGCAAGAGAUUUCAUGAGACUUCAGGCGAGUUAGAUUGCCCGUUAGAGGUAGAGAUUGCCGAUGAUCGAUCGGUGCGAGCAUCGAUGGUGUUUCGAGAUUGUGUCCUGCGACUGUUUGAGGAGUGUUACCUGGUAGACUUGGUUCCCAUUCCAUUGCGUGGGAACAAGGUGAUUAUUGGUAUGGAUUGGUUGAGCCCUAAUGGGGCAGUGAUAGAUUGCGCACAGCAGCUAGUGCGAGUCAAGACCCCAAGCGGGGGAGAGUUAGUGAUUCAUGGAGAGCGGCCGCAGUGUGGACCCACUGUAUGUUCAGCAGCGAGGGCUAGGCGCUACCUUCAGCAGGGAUGCGCGGGUUAUGUCGCGUACGUGAUGGACACCCGGGAGGCGGGUAAGGCGACCGUGAGCGAGGUCCCGGUGGUUCGAGAUUUUGCUGAUGUUUUUCCGGAGGAACUACCUGGGAUACCUCCGGAGCGACAGGUGGAGUUCAGGAUUGACCUCGUUCCCGGUGCGGCUCCGAUAGCCAAAGCACCGUAUCGGUUGGCUCCUCCCGAGAUGCAGGAGUUGUCUACGCAGCUGCAGGAGCUGCUGGACAAGGGAUUUAUUCGGCCGAGCAGUUCGCCCUGGGGAGCCCCGAUUCUGUUUGUGAAGAAGAAGGAUGGGUCGCAUCGGAUGUGUAUAGAUUAUCGGGAGCUGAACAAGGUAACGGUGAAGAACCGUUACCCGCUUCCGAGGAUUGAUGACCUCUUUGACCAGCUUCAGGGCGCAUCUUGGUUCUCCAAGAUUGAUUUGCGUUCGGGUUAUCAUCAGAUGAGGGUCAGGGAGGAGGAUAUGCAGAAGACCGCGUUUCGGACGCGCUAUGGCCAUUACGAGUUUGUGGUGAUGCCGUUUGGGCUCACCAAUGCUCCUGCCGCGUUCAUGGACCUCAUGAACCGUGUAUGCAGACCGAUGCUGGACCGGUCUGUGAUAGUCUUUAUCGAUGAUAUCUUGGUUUAUUCCAAGACCCGGGAGGAACAUGAGGAGCAUUUGAGAGAGGUGUUAGAGACCCUGAGGAGGGAGAGCUUGUAUGCCAAGUUCUCCAAGUGUGAGUUUUGGUUGCGCGAGGUGCAAUUUCUGGGGCACCUCGUCAACCAGAACGGGAUUCUGGUCGAUCCGGCCAAGGUCGAGGCCGUGAUGAGAUGGGAGGUUCCGAAGUCCCCAUCUGAGAUUCGGAGCUUCCUAGGAUUGGCAGGCUACUAUCGGAGAUUUAUCCAGGAUUUCUCCAAGAUAGCCGUGCCCCUGACGCGGCUGACGAAGAAAGCCGUGGUCUUUCGGUGGGGACCCGAGCAGCAGGCUGCAUUUGAGACGCUGAGACAGAGAUUGUGUGAGGCGCCGAUCUUAGCCCUGCCAGAGGGCGUAGAGGAUUUCGUGGUUUAUUGCGAUGCGUCCAUUUCUGGGUUGGGCGCGGUGCUGAUGCAAAGGGGGCAUGUCAUUGCUUACGCUUCGAGGCAGCUCAAGCCUCACGAGGCGAACUACCCGACGCACGAUUUGGAGUUGGGGGCGGUGGUAUUUGCCCUCAAGAUUUGGCGACAUUACCUCUAUGGGGUUCGGUGUACCAUCUACACGGACCACAAGAGCUUGAGGUACCUCAUGGACCAGCCGAAUCUGAACAUGAGGCAGCGUCGGUGGUUGGAUGUGGUGAAGGAUUAUGAUUGCGAGAUCCUUUACCACCCGGGAAAGGCCAAUGUGGUGGCCGAUGCGCUUAGCCGCAAGACGGCGCCGAUCAGGGACGCCUGUUUGAGGAUGACUGUGGUGACUCCCCUGUUGGAGCAGAUUCGGGAAGCUCAACAGGAGGCUAUCAAGGAGGAGCAUCGGAAGAACGAGCGCGUAGUAGGUCAGGUUUCCUCCUUCGAUUAUGAUAGCCGAGGGUUAUUGACACUACACCAUAGGGUGUGGGUGCCGUAUCACGGGGGCGUGCGCCAGAUUUUGAUGGAGGAGGCGCACAAGUCCCGAUUCUCUAUUCAUCCCGGGGCGACGAAGAUGUAUAGGGAUCUUCGUCUAGACUAUUGGUGGCCCUGCAUGAAGCGGGAUGUGGCAUGGUACGUCGAGCGGUGCUUGACCUGCAGGAAGGUCAAGGCCGAACAUCAGAGGCCGCAUGGCAAGAUGCAGCCGUUGGACAUUCCACUGUGGAAGUGGGAAGAUAUCACGAUGGAUUUUAUCACGAAGCUUCCCAGGACCGCGCGUGGAGUGGAUUCGAUUUGGGUCAUCGUGGAUAGAUUGACCAAGAGUGCUCACUUUAUUCCGAUUCCGGAGAGCAUAUCGGCCGAGAAAUUGGCCGACAUCUAUAUCAGGGAGAUUGUGGCACGGCAUGGGGUGCCAGUAUCGGUGAUCUCGGACAGGGAUGUGCGUUUUACUUCCAGGUUUUGGAAGAGAUUCCAUGACGAGUUGGGCACUCGUCUGCAUUUCAGCACCGCCUUUCACCCGCAGACAGAUGGACAGAGUGAGCGGACCAUCCAGACUUUGGAGGACAUGUUGCGGGCGUGUGUUCUGGAUUUCGGUGGUAGCUGGGAUACCUAUCUUCCUUUGGCUGAGUUCUCCUACAACAACAGCUAUCACGCGAGUAUCGACCGCCCUCCCUUCGAGAUGUUGUACGGACGGAGGUGUAGGACCCCGAUAUGCUGGGGUGAGGUUGGCCAGAGAGUUAUGGGAAGCACCGAAGUGGUGCUCAAGACGACUGAGAGGAUACAGCAGGUCCGGAGCAGGCUUCAGACUGCUCAGAGUCGACAGAAAAGUUAUGCCGACAAGCGUCGAUCCGAUUUAGAGUUCCAGGUCGGGGAUAUGGUCCUCCUGAAGGUGUCACCGUGGAAAGGCGUCAUCCGAUUCAGGAAGCGGGGCAAGUUGGGCCCGCGAUUCAUCGGACCGUUCAGGGUCUUAGCCCGGGUGGGCAAGGUAGCAUAUAGGCUGGAUCUGCCAGCCGAGCUUAGCCAGAUCCACAGCACUUUCCAUGUUUCGCAGUUGCGGAAGUGCCUAGUGGACGAUUCUGCAGUAGUACCUUUGGAGGAUAUUCAGGUUGAUGACAGCCUGAACUACAUCGAGCGCCCAGUCGCAAUCCUCGACAGGAAGUCGAAGGAUUUAAGGAACAAGAGGGUGGAGCUAGUGAAGGUGCAAUGGCAGCACCGCAAGGGUUCAGAGUGGACUUGGGAGCCGGUAGACGAGAUGAUGGAGCACUACCCCGAGCUGUUUCAGGAUCAGGCAGCAGACUUCGAGGACGAAGUCUAAAAUAAGUGGGGGAGAUUUGUAGCACCUGGUUUCCGGUAUGUGAAUUUUAUUUGAGCAUUGCCCUAAUUUAGCCUUAGACUCGGCGAGUCAUAGGGUCCGACUCGCCGAGUAGGGACGAGACUCAGGACGCGUUUUAAGUAGGCGACUCGACGAGUCCAUAUCCUGGACUCGGCGAGUCACCGCUGCGGGAUGAAACCCUAAGUUUCAAGGGUUUGCACCCUAUUUAAACCCUCAUUCCGCCCCAACUCGUCCCCAUUCACCCCCAGAACUCCCCCUACAUCGUUUUCCCUUGUUUCCUUGAGAGUUUGAGGUGUUCUUGGUGUGUUCUUGAAGGUUUUGAAGAGUAAGAGGAGUAGAUCAAGAAGAGGAGAAGGAGAUCAGCCAUCCUUGUGUCAUUUCAACAUUUCCUUUGAGGUAUAACCCGUUUUCCCCUUGAUUCUAUGCUUAAAACUUCAUUUGGGUCCUUCUUGGUCAAUUCCCCAAGUUUGCAUGUUCAUUAUAUGUUGUAAUAAGGCGUUUGGCCUUUGGAUCUAUGUAAGAUUGAGCUCCAGGAGCUCAGAUCUGUUAGCUUUUUGGCCUCAUGAGGCUUGUUAGCCCUAGAUCUACCAUUUUGAGACAUUUUGAGCCUUAUAAUCCAUAUUGGUGAAUAUCCACACGUAAAGUUGGAAACUUUACGUGUGAUUCGUGUCCUAGAAGUCCAGAUCUAUGAAUGGCAUGGUCUGGAACCGAGCAAAUCGGUAUAUUUAAGGAGUGCAUGGCGACGACUCGGCGAGUCGCAUAGGUGACUCGGCGAGUCU
This 8923-nucleotide long non-coding RNA is filed under the name Lactuca sativa (garden lettuce). Its description in RNAcentral is "long non-coding RNA (LSAT_LNC003697)". Lineage: Eukaryota; Viridiplantae; Streptophyta; Magnoliopsida; Asterales; Asteraceae. The record is from RNAcentral.